RNAcentral lists this ribosomal RNA (504 nucleotides) under uncultured bacterium. RNAcentral's name for it is "bacterial SSU rRNA". It matches the Rfam family "Bacterial small subunit ribosomal RNA", at positions 15 to 518 of the family's 1533-position model. The record is from RNAcentral.
GAUCCUGGCUCAGGAUGAACGCUGGCGGUGUGCUUAACACGAUGCAAGUCGAACGGAGUUUUAAACGGAAGUCCUCGGAUGGAAGUUUAGAAACUUAGUGGCGGACGGGUGAGUAACGCGUGGGUAACCUGCCUCAUACAGGGGGAUAACAGUCGGAAACGAUUGCUAAAACCGCAUAACAUAGCGAAACCGCAUGAUUUUUGCUAUCAAAUAUUUAUAGGUAUGAGAUGGGCCCGCGUCUGAUUAGCUAGUUGGUGGGGUAAUGGCCUACCAAGGCGACGAUCAGUAGCCGGCUUGAGAGAGUGACCGGCCACAUUGGGACUGAGACACGGCCCAAACUCCUACGGGAGGCAGCAGUGGGGAAUAUUGGACAAUGGGGGAAACCCUGAUCCAGCCGACGCCGCGUGAGUGAAGAAGUAUUUCGGUAUGUAAAGCUCUAUCAGCAGGGAAGAUAAUGACAGUACCUGACUAAGAAGCCCCGGCUAACUACGUGCCAGCCGCCGC